RNAcentral lists this long non-coding RNA (398 nucleotides) under Homo sapiens (human). RNAcentral describes it as "HSALNT0008013". The record is from RNAcentral. Lineage: Eukaryota; Metazoa; Chordata; Mammalia; Primates; Hominidae.
CUUAUUCAUGUGAAUCCCUGAGCGACGUGCAUCCCAGGCAGAGGAAAGAGCCAGUGCAAAGAUCAGGAGGCUAAAGCCUACCGAGUGUGUUUGAGGAACAGGAAGGAUAGGGAUAAGGCCUGGUGAAGAACGAAUCAAUUCCCAACAGCAGUAGAAAUGGGGAAAGAGGGCAGCAUUGCAUAUUACCUCAAGCUUCUCUCUUACCCUAACAUGAACCUCAGCGUGUCCUAAACCUCGGUGCUGGUACACUAAACAUUUAGCAGAAAAGUCAGAGGAAGUAACUGAUCCUAUCAACAUGGUUUAAGAAGGUAAGCAUGAAUUCAGCUAACUAUCUUUUCUUUCUCCAAUAAACAUCCCAUCUGGGUUUCAUCUGACUGCUUUAAUUCUUCACAUACGGA